AUCCUGGUGAUGCAGGUCCAAUAACUACUCAAAUCUCAUCAUCAUUAUGCCAGAUGUAAUGUUACAAGUCGAUUUCUGCUCCAAAGGCUUUGCCUGGAUUAAGGAAAGUAUGUGUGCAUCUGAUUGAGGUUUGGAAGCAGUGGAUUAAGAAGCUGAGACUCAAAGGAUUUCAGUGAUUUUCUCAGGGAUUCAGCAAUAAAGUCAAGAUUAAAAGCCUAACUCCUAAUUCCCAAUCUAGUGCUCAUUCUAAUAAGAUGGCAGCUGGCUGCAUGAGGAGGGCCAACUCCUCCUUCUCCACCUGGGCUCCAUGUGAAACAAAUAUGGCCUGGAGGACUGGACGGACAGGGAAUAUAGUCACCAGUGGGUCCUUCUCUUCCCACCCUAAAUGUUCAGUACAGAGUCAUGGUGAAAGGCUACACUACUGUGCCAGUUUGAGUGUAUUGUGUCCCCCAAAUGCCAUUAUCUUUGUAGUCUUGUGUGGGGCAGAAGUUUUGGUGUUGGUUAGAUUUGCUUGGAGUGUGCCCCACCCAGC
Choloepus didactylus (southern two-toed sloth) is the source of this 532-nucleotide long non-coding RNA. RefSeq lists it as uncharacterized. Lineage: Eukaryota; Metazoa; Chordata; Mammalia; Pilosa; Megalonychidae. The record is from RefSeq and is a predicted model, not a curated record. The transcript has 3 exons.